CUAAAACACACACUAAACUCACGCAUAACACCAUUGUUGAGGAGUUGGAGCUUUUGAGCUCCGAUUUGAGUGCCGAGACGAGCCCCGAUCAUCUUUUCGAUCACGUAUUUAAGUAGGUCCUUUUGGGAAGUAACGACUUGAGGGAGAGAGUGACGUUACUCAUUGAUACAGAGACACAACGAGGUUGAGCUGAUGUGAUGAUGGUGCUGCAAUGAGCGGAGUCUCCAGGGUUGUUAAUAAAUAGUUAACCUGUCUAGAAUAUGUCUUCAUACAUAUGUCUAGCUACUUUCCGCUGCAAGAUGUUGUUGAUGUUAUAGUAUGUUAUGUCAUACUUUGAGUCUUAAGAGAAUGGUUUCAUAUGAUGUAUAACUUGAUUAAUGAUAUUAAUUAAGUUUUAUGUUGUCUUUCAUAGACUGUUCAAAAGAGUAUUAAUGAGUAAAUACGAUGAUUUUUCUUAAGUUAAGUAAGAUUUACGGUUUCAAAUGAUGCCCCUUUCUUUCCCUUAUUCUUUAACCCCAUCCCUAGUCGUAGAUCACUCGGCUUAACUAUCCUUAG
Molecule: long non-coding RNA, 555 nt
Organism: Salvia miltiorrhiza (redroot sage)
Lineage: Eukaryota; Viridiplantae; Streptophyta; Magnoliopsida; Lamiales; Lamiaceae
Exons: 3
Source: RefSeq, a predicted model, not a curated record